GCGUGGGUGGCGGAACUGGCAUACGCGCUAGCUUGAGGAGCUAGUUCCUCACGGAUUGCGGGUUCAAAUCCCGCCCCGCGCACCA
This 85-nucleotide transfer RNA is filed under the name Candidatus Omnitrophota bacterium. RNAcentral describes it as "tRNA-Leu". It matches the Rfam family "tRNA". Rfam says of the family: Transfer RNA (tRNA) molecules are approximately 80 nucleotides in length. Lineage: Bacteria; Pseudomonadati; Candidatus Omnitrophota. The record is from RNAcentral.